Molecule: ribosomal RNA, 441 nt
Filed under: uncultured bacterium
Lineage: Bacteria
Description: partial 16S ribosomal RNA
Rfam family: Bacterial small subunit ribosomal RNA
Source: RNAcentral
CCUACGGGGAGCAGCAGUGGGGAAUAUUGCACAAUGGGGGAAACCCUGAUGCAGCGACGCCGCGUGAGUGAAGAAGUAUUUCGGUAUGUAAAGCUCUAUCAUCAGGGAAGAAGAAAAACGGUUCCUGACUGAGAAGCCCCCGCCAAAUACGUUCCAGCAGCCGCGGUAAUACGGAGGGUGCAAGCGUUAUCCGGAUUUACUGGGUGGAAAGGGAGUGUAGACGGCUUUGCAAGUCUGAAGGGAAAGCCCAGGGAUCAACCCUGGGACUGCUUUGGAAACUGUGGAGCUAGAGUGCUGGAGAGGCAAGUGGAAUUCCUAGUGUAGCGGUGAAAUGCGUAGAUAUUAGGAGGAACACCAGUGGCGAAGGCGGCUUACUGGACAGUAACUGACGUUGAGGCUCGAAAGCGUGGGGAGCAAACAGGAUUAGAUACCCGAGUAGUC